GCCUGAUCCAGCCAUGCCGCGUGAGUGAUGAAGGCCCUAGGGUUGUAAAGCUCUUUCAACGGUGAAGAUAAUGACGGUAGCCGUAGAAGAAGCCCCGGCUAACUUCGUG
RNAcentral lists this ribosomal RNA (109 nucleotides) under uncultured Hyphomicrobiales bacterium. RNAcentral's name for it is "uncultured Rhizobiales bacterium partial 16S ribosomal RNA". It matches the Rfam family "Bacterial small subunit ribosomal RNA", at positions 381 to 507 of the family's 1533-position model. Lineage: Bacteria; Pseudomonadati; Pseudomonadota; Alphaproteobacteria; Hyphomicrobiales. The record is from RNAcentral.